UCCCGGGUCGUCUAAUGGCAGGACACCAGUUUCUGGCACUGGUAAUCGGGGUUCGAGUCCCUGCCCGGGAACCA
This is a transfer RNA of 74 nucleotides. It matches the Rfam family "tRNA". Rfam says of the family: Transfer RNA (tRNA) molecules are approximately 80 nucleotides in length. Their secondary structure includes four short double-helical elements and three loops (D, anti-codon, and T loops).